This 418-nucleotide RNase P RNA is filed under the name Alicyclobacillus sp. RNAcentral describes it as "RNase P RNA component class A". It matches the Rfam family "Bacterial RNase P class A". Rfam says of the family: Ribonuclease P (RNase P) is a ubiquitous endoribonuclease, found in archaea, bacteria and eukarya as well as chloroplasts and mitochondria. Lineage: Bacteria; Bacillati; Bacillota; Bacilli; Caryophanales; Alicyclobacillaceae. The record is from RNAcentral.
GAAGGCAACCGGGCAAUCGCGCGUGCAGUGCCGAAAGGCCGCAUGCGAGGAAAGUCCGAGCUCCGCAGGGCAGGGUGCUGGGUAACACCCAGUGGGAGCGAUCCUAAGGAAAGUGCCACAGAAAUGUAGACCGCCGACGGCCCGGCCGGGUGGUUCCCGGGCGGGCUCGGGCAAGGAUGCAACGGUGCGGUAAGAGCGCACCAGCGGUGCGGAGACGCAUCGGCUAGGUAAACCCCACCCGGAGCAAGACCGGAUAGGAGCGCAAUGCGGUGGCCCGCCGCGCGCUCGGGUAGGUCGCUGGAGCCGGCCGGCAACGGUCGGCCUAGAUAGAUGAUUGCCCCUCCAGAUCGGUGGGAGCGCCGCGGGCGCGCCCGAACCACCGGGAGGACAGAACUCGGCUUAUAGGUUGCCUUUCCGC